CGCAGAGAGAACGCGAGUGGGUGUGGUGGUGUAGUUGACCUUGGUCCUGCACCUGGCAGUUAUGCAACCAAAGGAUGAUUCUGUUCAAAGUCUUGGCGGGAAAAGUGGAAGUUGCAGACUUACCUACACAGUGCCGACUUGAAAAGCCUCUCUGCAAGUUCAGCUACACUCUUUAAGGGUGGGUGAAGGAUGUCUUGAAGGAGUUGCUGCUCGUCUCAUGGACACGGCAGCCCAGCAGUUUUGCCAUUGCAACAUUUGCAGCAAGGGAAUCACAAACGAUGGCAACUACAUCGAGUGGACAUUCGGUGCUGCUGUGAGAUCCUUGGUAUGGCUGUGUGCAGCACUGUUAUACUUGGUGGAAGCACUUGAAGUGCUAGCGAAAAAUAUUGACAAUUAUCCUUGUCUGCAUCACUAUUCGUGCAAAGCCUCCCUCAUCUAUGUGGCACGUACCAUAGCUUUAUAUUGAAUUCUUCCUUUAUUAUUUCACAAGGUGUUUGAUAUGUACAGAUGUGAUCUAUAUUUUUG
Molecule: long non-coding RNA, 525 nt
Organism: Dermacentor albipictus
Lineage: Eukaryota; Metazoa; Arthropoda; Arachnida; Ixodida; Ixodidae
Source: RefSeq, a predicted model, not a curated record